RNAcentral lists this ribosomal RNA (467 nucleotides) under uncultured bacterium. RNAcentral describes it as "partial 16S ribosomal RNA". It matches the Rfam family "Bacterial small subunit ribosomal RNA", at positions 28 to 507 of the family's 1533-position model. The record is from RNAcentral.
GACGAACGCUGGCGGCGUGCUUAACACAUGCAAGUCGAACGGAAAGGCUCCAGCUUGCUGGAGUACUCGAGUGGCGAACGGGUGAGUAACACGUGGGUAAUCUGCCCUGCACUCUGGGAUAAGCCUGGGAAACUGGGUCUAAUACUGGAUAUGACCUUUCUCCUUAUGGGGUUUGGUGGAAAGUUUUUCGGUGUAGGAUGAGCCCGCGGCCUAUCAGCUUGUUGGUGGGGUGAUGGCCUACCAAGGCGACGACGGGUAGCCGGCCUGAGAGGGUGAUCGGCCACAUUGGGACUGAGAUACGGCCCAGACUCCUACGGGAGGCAGCAGUGGGGAAUAUUGCACAAUGGGCGGAAGCCUGAUGCAGCGACGCCGCGUGAGGGAUGACGGCCUUCGGGUUGUAAACCUCUUUCAGCAGGGACGAAGCGUAAGUGACGGUACCUGCAGAAGAAGCACCGGCUAGCUAUGUG